Molecule: ribosomal RNA, 466 nt
Filed under: uncultured bacterium
Lineage: Bacteria
Description: bacterial SSU rRNA
Rfam family: Bacterial small subunit ribosomal RNA
Source: RNAcentral
CCUACGGGGGGGCAGCAGUGGGAAAUAUUGCACAAUGGGCGCAAGCCUGAUGCAGCCAUGCCGCGUGUGUGAAGAAGGCCUUCGGGUUGUAAAGCACUUUCAGCGGGGAGGAAGGCGGUGAGGUUAAUAACCUCAUCGAUUGACGUUACCCGCAGAAGAAGCACCGGCUAACUCCGUGCCAGCAGCCGCGGUAACACGGAGGGUGCAAGCGUUAAUCGGAAUUACUGGGCGUAAAGCGCACGCAGGCGGUCUGUCAAGUCGGAUGUGAAAUCCCCGGGCUCAACCUGGGAACUGCAUUCGAAACUGGCAGGCUAGAGUCUUGUAGAGGGGGGUAGAAUUCCAGGUGUAGCGGUGAAAUGCGUAGAGUUCUGGAGGAAUACCGGUGGCGAAGGCGGCCCCCUGGACAAAGACUGACGCUCAGGUGCGAAAGCGUGGGGAGCAACCAGGAUUAGAUACCCCGGUAGUC